Molecule: ribosomal RNA, 301 nt
Filed under: uncultured bacterium
Lineage: Bacteria
Description: partial 16S ribosomal RNA
Rfam family: Bacterial small subunit ribosomal RNA
Source: RNAcentral
CAGCAGCCACGGUAAUACGUAGGGUGCAAGCGUUAAUCGGAAUUACUGGGCGUAAAGCGUGCGCAGGCGGUUAUAUAAGACAGAUGUGAAAUCCCCGGGCUCAACCUGGGAACUGCAUUUGUGACUGUAUAGCUAGAGUACGGCAGAGGGGGAUGGAAUUCCGCGUGUAGCAGUGAAAUGCGUAGAUAUGCGGAGGAACACCGAUGGCGAAGGCAAUCCCCUGGGCCUGUACUGACGCUCAUGCACGAAAGCGUGGGGAGCAAACAGGAUUAGAGACCCCCGUAGUCCCUGUCUCUUAUAA